This 594-nucleotide ribosomal RNA is filed under the name uncultured bacterium. RNAcentral's name for it is "bacterial SSU rRNA". It matches the Rfam family "Bacterial small subunit ribosomal RNA", at positions 247 to 832 of the family's 1533-position model. The record is from RNAcentral.
AGUUGGUGGGGUAGAAGCCUACCAAGGCAACGAUCAGUAGCCGGCCUGAGAGGGUGGACGGCCACACUGGGACUGAGACACGGCCCAGACUCCUACGGGAGGCAGCAGUGGGGAAUAUUGCGCAAUGGGGGAAACCCUGACGCAGCGACGCCGCGUGAGCGAAGAAGGCCUUAGGGUCGUAAAGCUCUGUUGUAAGGGACGAAUGUUUAUCUGGCGAACAGUCAGAUAAAGUGACGGUACCUUACCAGCAAGCCCCGGCUAACUACGUGCCAGCAGCCGCGGUAAGACGUAGGGGGCGAGCGUUGUCCGGAAUUACUGGGCGUAAAGAGCACGUAGGCGGGUAAUUAAGUCAGAUGUGAAAGACCGGGGCCCAACCUCGGGGUUGCAUCUGAAACUGGUUAUCUUGAGGGCAGGAGAGGAAAGUGGAAUUCCUGGUGUAGCGGUGAAAUGCGUAGAAAUCAGGAGGAAUACCAGUGGCGAAGGCGGCUUUCUGGACUGACCCUGACGCUGAGGUGCGAAAGCGUGGGUAGCAAACAGGAUUAGAUACCCUGGUAGUCCACGCUGUAAACGAUGGAUACUAGGUGUGGGAGGUAU